Colossoma macropomum (tambaqui) is the source of this 1684-nucleotide long non-coding RNA. RefSeq lists it as uncharacterized. The transcript is spliced from 3 exons. The record is from RefSeq and is a predicted model, not a curated record. Lineage: Eukaryota; Metazoa; Chordata; Actinopteri; Characiformes; Serrasalmidae.
CCCUCCUCCACAGCCAGCGCUUGCUCUGCCACAAAAACCGAAAGCAAAAGUAGAAGACGUUUUGAGUGUCCAGACACGAAUUUUUCGUGGUCCUUUCGAGGCAACAUUGGAUUAUCUUUUGUCAUUUUAAUAUUUUUUAUUAGUAUUAUUGUUAUAAGCGAUGGAGCUCCGCAGCAUGCCUUCGGAUAUGACACUGAGGACCUGUCCUGAUGAGUGGACCAUGCACCCCAGGGGGCCUCUGUAGUCUCUAUACACCUGGAAGCUUUUUUUUCCUUUUUUCUGUACUUUAUCUGGCUCAUUUCCAAUGCUGGCAAAUUAAAAGCAUUCCUUGAAUGCCAAAAGUUACUUUUUUGCUGGAAUGGAUCUGUGUCUGUGGGCUUUCUGACAUCUCUGAGAUUAUUGGUCCAAACUGGAAAGACCUGCUUUUGGAAAGUCCUGUCAUCUUCCGUGCAAGUCAAUGUGUUUAUAUGCAGAAAAAGAGAGACCGCUUCAUAUGAAACCACUCCCACCUCACUUCCACAGCUGCAACAGAUAAUAAAUUGGAUUAUGUGCAGCGAACUCUUGAGAAGUUUCAUGCAAAACUCAAAAAGCACCUCCCUUUUAGAGCCUCCAGUAGAUAACAGCUUAUUAUGAAUAGGAUGGACUGUAGUAAAGACUUCAAGGCCUGUUUCCAAGGACACCACCAUGCCACAAUUCAUGCAUAAUGGAAACUAGAACUUUUUCAAGAAAUGUCAACAAUUAUCGGAACCUUACCUUAGAUGUGACAACCAAAUAAGGCAAUGUCAGAUGUUUGAUUUUCGAAUGACCUUUUCUGUUUUCAUAUGUAUAACACUUAUUUAAUACACAUUUAAGAAGGCUUCUGUUUAAAAUGUGACUCAACUUGAAAUGAUGUAUUAUACUGUACAUUAAGUGCAAAUGUAAUAAAACACAUUCUUUACAAAAACAACUCCCUUUUCAUUGUGAAAAUAGUGCGUGAAAAUAGUGAGUGAAUCCAACGUGUCCCUAAUGUUAAGAUCAGUUAAUAAGGACAGAUUACAGUGAAAUAUUCUUAGGGAUAGAUACUAUUAAGCUGUUUCAGUUAACCUGAUUCACUGGAAAGGUACGGUGAAAUUUAAAAUUCUAUAUUAUUGUAAUUAAAAUUGAAAAUGGCAUCUUGCAUUCGGCAAAAUGCAAGAGCAAAAAAAAAAAAAGAUAACUAUUAGGUAAAAUAAUUGAAAAUAAAAAACCUACCAUUUGCCCUGUUGCAGAAGUGUGCACACCCUUCAUAAUCGGGGCUGUAGCUUUGUUCCAGAGUUUACAGAUCAAAAUGAUGUCCAAAAAUAACAUCAAUAAAAGUAAAAUAAACCAGUUGUUCCUAAUGUUUUCAUGAUUGCAUCCUUCUGGGAUAACUACAGUCCAUGAGUAGCUGACAAAGCAUUUAAAUAAUCUCACAGAUUACAGAUGAGGAGAAUGGUAUAAAAAAGAUACACCACAGAGAAUCGUAAAGACUUCCAUCAAUAGAUGGAAAAAAGUGGCAUCACAGGGGGACUAACAAGGUCAGGAAAAUCAUCAAAAGUUGAUGACAGGAAAAGAAGAAAACUUAUCACGCUACCAAGAUGCCUACAGGAACAUUGAAAAAGCUUGAGGAAAUUCUGGCAGGUACUGGGCAAACUUACCAAAUAUCCCCCAAAUUCUACACGAGUGA